UCAGUCCGGGAAAGAAAAGACUUGGGUUAAUACCCGGCUGGNGGAUGACGGUACCGGAAUAAUAAGCACCGGCUAACUACGUGCCAGCAGCCGCGGUAAUACGUAGGGUGCGUAGCGUUAAUCGGAAUUACUGGGCGUAAAGCGUGCGCAGGCGGUUAUGUAAGACAGACGUGAAAUCCCCGGGCUCAACCUGGGAACUGCAUUUGUGACUGCCUGGCUAGAGUACGGCAAAGGGGGAUGGAAUUCCACGUGUAGCAGUGAAAUGCGUAAAUAUGUGGAGGAACACCAAUGGCGAAGGCAACCCCCUGGGUCCAAUACUGACGCUCAUGCACGAAAGCGUGGGUAGCAAACAGGAUAAGAUACCCUGNNAGUCCACNCCCUAAA
RNAcentral lists this ribosomal RNA (384 nucleotides) under uncultured bacterium. RNAcentral's name for it is "bacterial SSU rRNA". It matches the Rfam family "Bacterial small subunit ribosomal RNA", at positions 434 to 806 of the family's 1533-position model. The record is from RNAcentral.